Molecule: unclassified non-coding RNA, 288 nt
Filed under: Hevea brasiliensis (rubber tree)
Lineage: Eukaryota; Viridiplantae; Streptophyta; Magnoliopsida; Malpighiales; Euphorbiaceae
Source: RNAcentral
GGAAAAUGGUGAUGAUGGGGUAUUAGGAACUCCAUCCAGAGUCAUCCAAUAUGAAGCUCCUGAUUUGGGUUCCGAAGAUGUAUAUGGUGUAUGGAGAAUUGAUGAUACAGAUCAUAGUUUCUCCACACAGCCUUUCCGAAUCAAAUAUGCGAGGCAGGAUAUUCUUCUCUCCAUGAUGGUCUCCUUCAACUUAUCUCUGAACAAACAUGAGGGCCCAUCGACAUCUGGUGUCAUUCUGAAAUUUGAGCUUUUCUAUGCACCUAUAUUGGAGAAUGGGACUAGUCUACA